RNAcentral lists this ribosomal RNA (806 nucleotides) under uncultured Bacillota bacterium. Its description in RNAcentral is "bacterial SSU rRNA". It matches the Rfam family "Bacterial small subunit ribosomal RNA", at positions 58 to 895 of the family's 1533-position model. The record is from RNAcentral. Lineage: Bacteria; Bacillati; Bacillota.
CAAGUCGAACGAGAAAGCAGGAGCAAUCUUGUGAGUAAAGUGGCGUACGGGUGAGUAACACGUGGAUCAUCUACCCUCUUGUGGGGGAUAACCCUGGGAAACCGGAGCUAAUACCGCAUAAGUCCGAGAGGAGAAAGCAGCAAUGCGCAGGAGGAGGAGUCCGCGGCCGAUUAGCUAGUUGGUAGGGUAAAAGCCUACCAAGGCUACGAUCGGUAGCCGGCCUGAGAGGGCACACGGCCACACUGGCACUGAAACACGGGCCAGACUCCUACGGGAGGCAGCAGUGGGGAAUCUUGCACAAUGGGGGCAACCCUGAUGCAGCGACGCCGCGUGAGCGAUGAAGCCCUUCGGGGUGUAAAGCUCUUUCGGCAGGGAAGAUUAUGACGGUACCUGCAGAAGCAGCUGCGGCUAACUACGUGCCAGCAGCCGCGGUAAUACGUAGGCAGCGAGCGUUGUUCGGAGUUACUGGGCGUAAAGGGUGUGUAGGCGGUCUUCUAAGUCUGGUGUGAAAUCUCCCGGCUCAACUGGGAGGGUGCGCCGGAAACUGGAAGGCUAGAGUGCGGGAUGGGAGAGUGGAAUUCCUGGUGUAGCGGUGAAAUGCGUAGAUAUCAGGAGGAACACCUGUGGUGUAGACGGCUCUCUGGACCGCAACUGACGCUGAGACACGAAAGCGUGGGUAGCAAACAGGAUUAGAUACCCUGGUAGUCCACGCCCUAAACGAUGCAUAUUUGGUGUGGGCCAUUCAUUUGGUCCGUGCCGGAGCUAACGCGUUAAAUAUGCCGCCUGGGGAGUACGGUCGCAAGGCU